CCCGUCCCCUACUAGGAGUCAGGGACCUCAGGACUGGAGGAGCAGAGGGAGUUUAUGGCGGGCUGCAAAAUACACCAGAGAAGGCCCUCAGGACGAGCCAGUACGGCAGGCUGAUGGUGCAGACUGCGUUCGAGGCUCAACUCCACCUGUCGAAAAAGAUUUCGGAGAGGGCGAGAAGGGCACCGUAUUGGGUGCAGCCCAGCAUCCCUAGACACACAGACUCUCUUGCGCACACACACACACACACACACACACACACACACACACACACACACACACACACACACACACACACACACACACACGUAAAUAGUUGUUUUAUUGUGUUUCAUAGAUUGGUUCAGAUUAAUUUAGUAUGUUCUUUUUUAUUACUUUAAGAUUCCUUUUUUAUUAGAUUUUCUUUUUUAGUAGAUGUUAAGAUUCAUUUACUUUUAGUGUGUUUUCAAAUGUUGUUCAAUAUUGGUAUGUGUUUAAUACAAGUUCCUUUUUACUUAAUGUCAACUAUAAUACUGAGCACGCUUAGCCUAAACAUGAAGCUAGGAACACCAAAUUGGUCAGGUAUUCUCAACACAGGCCCACCUUUGAGUUUGAAAAGGUUCAAGGCAAUUUGUAGCUUGAAACAAGCUCCAAAGUAACAGAGUUAAAAAGACAAACAGCCAGAGAACUUGAGACAGAAACCAGCCAGGACCAGUCUUAACUGUUAAAUGUAUAAGGAGCACAUAUGCAAAUAAAAAGCAUUACAAAAUUCA
Molecule: long non-coding RNA, 749 nt
Organism: Perca fluviatilis (European perch)
Lineage: Eukaryota; Metazoa; Chordata; Actinopteri; Perciformes; Percidae
Exons: 2
Source: RefSeq, a predicted model, not a curated record